GUUUUUGUAGUUGAAUAACAACGGCGGUUUUUCAGGUCGCAGGUUCUGGUUUAAACCCGGAUAAAAAUA
This 69-nucleotide transfer RNA is filed under the name Holbrookia lacerata. RNAcentral's name for it is "tRNA-Glu". It matches the Rfam family "tRNA". Rfam says of the family: Transfer RNA (tRNA) molecules are approximately 80 nucleotides in length. Their secondary structure includes four short double-helical elements and three loops (D, anti-codon, and T loops). Lineage: Eukaryota; Metazoa; Chordata; Lepidosauria; Squamata; Phrynosomatidae. The record is from RNAcentral.